UAUCUCUGUAGAGUCUGCAUAUCAAUAAGCGGAGGAAAAGAAACUAACUAGGAUUCCCUCAGUAACGGCGAGUGAAGCGGGAAGAGCUCAAAUUUGAAAUCUUCAAGGUUCUACCUUGACGAAUUGUAGUUUAAAGAAGUGUUUUCUGUUGGAUGUUUUGGUAAAAGUUCUUUGGAAUAGGACAUCAUAGAGGGUGAGAAUCCCGUAUUUGACCAUUAUUUCCAGCUUUGUGAUACACUUUCAAAGAGUCGGAUUGUUUGGGAAUGCAGUCCAAAAUGGGUGGUAAAUUUCAUCUAAAGCUAAAUAUUGGCGAGAGACCGAUAGCGAACAAGUACCGUGAGGGAAAGAUGAAAAGAACUUUGAAAAGAGAGUUAAACAGUACGUGAAAUUGUCAAAAGGGAAGCGUUUGACACCAGUGUUGUUUUCUCGAAAAUCAAUUAAAAAAGGCAGGAUUUUGUGUUGUAUUGACUUUAUCAGCUUUCUGCACUCUUUCCUUGUCUUUUUUAAUGCACUUUUCGUUUAACAAGUCAACAUCAAUUUCUUUUGUUGUAAAAGGGUCAUUGGAAGGUGGCUUUCUUUUCGGAGAAAGUGUUUAUAGCCUUUGGCCUCUGCAAUCGGAGAGAUUGAGGUCUGCAGCGUAGAUCCUUCGGGGUUAGAUACAUUUGUGCUAAGUUAUAGCCUUUCAUAGACAACUUGUUGACUAUGAUCAGUCAUGUAGCUUACUCGCUUAUGCUAUUUUACCUACGCUUAGGAUGUUGACGAUCAGCUGAGCGCG
RNAcentral lists this ribosomal RNA (775 nucleotides) under uncultured Neocallimastigales. RNAcentral's name for it is "partial large subunit ribosomal RNA". It matches the Rfam family "Eukaryotic large subunit ribosomal RNA", at positions 24 to 627 of the family's 3401-position model. The record is from RNAcentral. Lineage: Eukaryota; Fungi; Neocallimastigomycota; Neocallimastigomycetes; Neocallimastigales.